UGGAUUGCACGUCUAAGCAGUAAGGCUGAGUAUUAGGCAAAUCCGGUACUCGUUAAGGCUGAGCUGUGAUGGGGAGAAGACAUUGUGUCUUCGAGUCGUUGAUUUCACACUGCCGAGAAAAGCCUCUAGAUAGAAAAUAGGUGCCCGUACCGCAAACCGACACAGGUAGUCAAGAUGAGAAUUCUAAGGUGAGCGAGCGAACUCUCGUUAAGGAACUCGGCAAAAUGACCCCGUAACUUCGGGAGAAGGGGUGCUCUUUAGGGUUAACG
Molecule: ribosomal RNA, 269 nt
Filed under: Enterococcus faecium
Lineage: Bacteria; Bacillati; Bacillota; Bacilli; Lactobacillales; Enterococcaceae
Description: partial 23S ribosomal RNA
Rfam family: Bacterial large subunit ribosomal RNA
Source: RNAcentral